GUUUAAGCCGCCGCGGUAAUACGUAGGGUGCGAGCGUUGUCCGGAAUUAUUGGGCGUAAAGAGCUCGUAGGCGGUGUGUCGCGUCGGUCGUGAAAACUUGGGGCUUAACCCUGAGCUUGCGGUCGAUACGGGCAUCACUGGAGUUCGGCAGGGGAGACUGGAAUUCCUGGUGUAGCGGUGAAAUGCGCAGAUAUCAGGAGGAACACCGGUGGCGAAGGCGGGUCUCUGGGCCGAUACUGACGCUGAGGAGCGAAAGCGUGGGGAGCGAACAGGAUUAGAUACCCUGGUAGUCC
This 293-nucleotide ribosomal RNA is filed under the name uncultured bacterium. RNAcentral describes it as "partial 16S ribosomal RNA". It matches the Rfam family "Bacterial small subunit ribosomal RNA", at positions 505 to 796 of the family's 1533-position model. The record is from RNAcentral.